Molecule: ribosomal RNA, 460 nt
Filed under: uncultured bacterium
Lineage: Bacteria
Description: bacterial SSU rRNA
Rfam family: Bacterial small subunit ribosomal RNA
Source: RNAcentral
AACGAACGCUGGCGGCAUGCCUAACACAUGCAAGUCGAACGGGAUCCAGGCUUCGGCCUGGUGAGAGUGGCGGACGGGUGAGUAACGCGUGGGAACCUGCCCAAUGGUCUGGGAUAACCGCGGGAAACUGCGGCUAAUACCGGAUAAGCCCGAGAGGGGAAAGAUUUAUCGACGAUGGAGGGGCCCGCGUCCGAUUAGGUAGUUGGUGAGGUAACGGCUCACCAAGCCGACGAUCGGUAGCUGGUCUGAGAGGAUGAUCAGCCACACUGGGACUGAGAUACGGCCCAGACUCCUACGGGAGGCAGCAGUGGGGAAUAUUGGACAAUGGGGGCAACCCUGAUCCAGCAAUGCCGCGUGAGUGAUGAAGGCCUUAGGGUUGUAAAGCUCUUUUGGCGGGGACGAUGAUGACGGUACCCGCAGAAUAAGCCCCGGCUAACUUCGUGCCAGCAGCCGCGGUAAU